CAUUGCCAUGUCAGUAAAAAGCUUCCCGGCCUCUUGAAUUUUCUCCCAACUCACUGGGUAGCCUGAAAACUUGCCAAGAGGCACGGAGGGGUCAGGUGGGAUGUGGGGAGCUGAGCUCAUGUCGGGAGGAGUCUGAGAUAGCAGGGGCUUCCCCAGCACAGAACCACUGCCUAGCCACAGAGGACAGAGCCAGGCCUGCGGAGAGACAGGAGGAUGACGCGGCAAGAUUCCCUGGGGAGCUGCCUGGGGUGGGGAGCUCCCUUACGAGGAGGCCUGUCUGCACCUCUCAACCCCAGCGGAACCACAGCAUAACUCCUGCACCCAGUGGCCCUCAGCUCUGCCCUGUCCCACAGCUCGGAUCGUUGUCCUGGACACGUCUCGUUUCCCACCUCGUUCGAGUCUGAGCUCUCGG
RNAcentral lists this long non-coding RNA (412 nucleotides) under Cavia porcellus (domestic guinea pig). RNAcentral's name for it is "lncRNA (ENSCPOG00000033626.1)". The record is from RNAcentral. Lineage: Eukaryota; Metazoa; Chordata; Mammalia; Rodentia; Caviidae.